UCCCCAUCCCAUUCUCCUAUCUUUGUCAUUUAUGUUUGUGUAAUGCUUAAAAUUUUAAGUUCACCAGUGGCCGUAUUCAUGACACCUGAAAUCUAGGACGACCAGUCAUGGACGUGUGGGCGCGACUGCCGCUGUGUACAGCGCAGCCAUCCUGGAGUACCUCACCGCAGAGGUACUUGAACUGGCAGGAAAUGCAUCAAAAGACUUAAAGGUAAAGCGUAUUACCCCUCGUCACUUGCAACUUGCUAUUCGUGGAGAUGAAGAAUUGGAUUCGCUCAUCAAGGCUACAAUUGCUGGUGGUGGUGUCAUUCCACACCUCCACAAAUCUCUGAUUGGGAAGAAAGGACAACAGAAGACUGUCUAAAGGAUGCCUGGAUUCCUUGUUAUCUCAGGACUCUAAAUACUCUAACAGCUGUCCAGUGUUGGUGAUUCCAGUGGACUGUAUCUCUGUGAAAAACACAAUUUUGCCUUUUUGUAAUUCUAUUUGAGCAAGUUGGAAGUUUAAUUAGCUUUCCAACCAACCAAAUUUCUGCAUUCGAGUCUUAACCAUAUUUAAGUGUUACUGUGGCUUCAAAGAAGCUAUUGAUUCUGAAGUAGUGGGUUUUGAUUGAGUUGACUGUUUUUAAAAAACUGUUUGGAUUUUAAUUGUGAUGCAGAAGUUAUAGUAACAAACAUUUGGUUUUGUACAGACAUUAUUUCCACUCUGGUGGAUAAGCUCAAUAAAGGUCAUAUCCCAAACUA
This is a long non-coding RNA of Cercocebus atys (sooty mangabey), 741 nucleotides long. RefSeq lists it as uncharacterized. The transcript has 2 exons. NCBI's taxonomy places the organism in Eukaryota, Metazoa, Chordata, Mammalia, Primates, Cercopithecidae. The record is from RefSeq and is a predicted model, not a curated record.